Molecule: long non-coding RNA, 268 nt
Organism: Portunus trituberculatus (swimming crab)
Lineage: Eukaryota; Metazoa; Arthropoda; Malacostraca; Decapoda; Portunidae
Exons: 2
Source: RefSeq, a predicted model, not a curated record
GAAAAAAUGCGUAGAAGAUAGAUAAGGGAAUUAAAGGGGAAAAAAUAAUAAAGAUAGGAAUAAGAGAUGGUAAAGCAAGAGAUAAUAGGAUGAAAGAGAGAUAAUAAAGUAAAAAUGGGGAAUAAUGGGUAAAUAUGAUAGAUAAAAUUAGAUAAACAGAGAGAGAGAGAGAGAGAGAGAGAGAGAGAGAGAGAGAGAGAGAGAGAGAGAGAGAGAGAGAGAGAGAGAGAGAGAGAGAGAGAGAGAGAGAGAGAGAGAGAGAGAGAGA